ACGCAUUAACCAAAGCCGUGGGGGGUCUGUGUUUACGCGUGAUUGGCUGAUUGCAUUACCAAAAGACACAAAAUUAAAACAAAAUAUAAUCUAUCGUUUUCUUUUCGUCACACAAGCACCCACUCACCCAGAACAAACCCAUAGCCUUUCCUUCCUUCAUCACUGACGCCAUCAGAGUCCACCACUGCUGCGCCUUCACUGCCAGAAUCAUCGCAACCAGUCAGUGGGUCUUUUACUUUCUUGGAUACUUUUUAUUUGUGGUGAAAAUUGUGGGUUUUUUUUUUUUAAGUUUCGAUUUAAAGUAGAAGAAUUCAAUCGGUUUUUGGAAUCGUUGGUGGGUUUAUUAGUAAUUAUUAUUUAUUUCUCUUUUAUGACUAGUUGGCUUUUUCAUUUUGUUAAUGGUAUUUCUCUUCUUGAUUUGAAGAAAUAGAUUUUUAGUUAAUAAGUGAGAUCUAAUUACAAAGAAUGAGAAAGAAUAAUUUACUUGUUUGUUUGUUUGAUUAGAUUAUUAGUAAACUUGAGUAACGGCAGUUAUAUGAUCAGGUGAUUUCGUGUACUUCAAAGGUUUAAAUUGAAUCGAAGUGGGAGUAGAGAGUAUGCUAUAUAGUAAGGAAUACAUAACUGAUAUUGUAGAGCAAGGAUCGAAAUUACUAGCUUAGUGAAUUGAAAUUACUUAAGGUCUACUUCUUCUUCAAUCAUUUUAUUUUGGCUCUAAAAUGAAUUAUUAUCUUGAAUAUUUUGGUAGUUAAUUUUUUUAAUAAAGAAGAAAUAACUUUUUUCAAGUGUUUAAGAAUGUAAUUUUUAGGCACCAAUCCUUUGGUGCUAUAAUUCCCCAUUUCUGAACAUUAUAUUUCUAUGAUUAAUUAUUAAUUUGUGGGUUAUAUAGUGACUUUGGUGGUACUUUUGACAAAUAAUUUGAUGUGGUUUAACAGGAUGGAUGUGGUAGUAUGGAAAUGGAGCAACCUUGCACUCAAGCUAUUAUGUUUUUUCUAGAAGAAAAAACAACAAAAAAUUGAUGGAAUGAGAUGAACGUUGAGGUUAGAAUGAGAUGAAUAUUGAAGUUAUCAAAAUAUCAUAGGAAAAAGAGGGAUAGGAAAGCUGUUUGGUUGGAAUUGCAUUUUAUUUUUUAUUUUUUUUAAGACACCACAUGUUUAACUAUUUAUUUAUAUUGAGAUGUUUAUUAAAGCUUUUUUUAUUUUAUUUGGCUGGAGCUUUAUUUUAGAUGAUACACAUUUGAGAAAUGUAGAGAAAACAAAUGUUAUAUUGUUUAAAAGUAUAGAAUUUAGUAGUUUUGCAAUGCAAAAUAAGAUUGAUAUAUUUUACAUAUUAUAUUAAAAAAAGUAGGAUAAUUAAGU
RNAcentral lists this long non-coding RNA (1355 nucleotides) under Citrus x clementina. Its description in RNAcentral is "Citrus clementina (C. clementina) long non-coding RNA (CCLE_LNC005201)". The record is from RNAcentral. Lineage: Eukaryota; Viridiplantae; Streptophyta; Magnoliopsida; Sapindales; Rutaceae.